GACGAAGGUGGCGAGCGUUGUUCGGAAUCACUGGGCAUAAAGCGCACGUAGGCGGUGCCGUAAGUCGGAUGUGAAAUCCCUCGGCCUAACCGAGGAACUGCGUCCGAUACUGCGGUGCUUGAGGAUCAGAGGGGUGCAUGGAAUUUCCGGUGGAGCGGUGAAAUGCGUUGAUAUCGGAAGGAACUCCGGUGGCGAAAGCGGCGUGCUGGACCUUUUCUGACGCUGAGGCGCGAAAGCUAGGGGAGCAAACGGG
This 253-nucleotide ribosomal RNA is filed under the name uncultured bacterium. RNAcentral's name for it is "partial 16S ribosomal RNA". It matches the Rfam family "Bacterial small subunit ribosomal RNA", at positions 524 to 776 of the family's 1533-position model. The record is from RNAcentral.